CUGCGAAUAUUCUCGCUGUUCUGAUUUUGUAAUAAUCAGGACAGGCUAAACAUUCGCUAUAUUAAGACCAUGCAUGUGUCCCCAGAUCUAGUUCUUUCCCUGGGUCUGGUUUUAUAAAUGCUGGUGAUAAAC
RNAcentral lists this small nucleolar RNA (132 nucleotides) under Sciurus carolinensis (gray squirrel). RNAcentral's name for it is "Small nucleolar RNA SNORA72". It matches the Rfam family "Small nucleolar RNA SNORA72". Rfam says of the family: U72 is a member of the H/ACA class of snoRNAs. Lineage: Eukaryota; Metazoa; Chordata; Mammalia; Rodentia; Sciuridae. RNAcentral also lists the same sequence under 1 other name. The record is from Rfam by way of RNAcentral.